CCCUUAGAUGUUCUGGGCCGCACGCGUGCUACACUGAGUGGAUCAGCGGGUCAGGUUGCGCGAAAGCGUUUCCUAAUCUUUAAAUCCGCUCGUGAUGGGGAUUGACGGUUGCAAUUUUCUGUCAUGAACGAGGAAUACCUUGUAAGCGCGGGUCAUCAUCCCGCGCUGAAUACGUCCCUGCCCUUUGUACACACCGCCCGUCGCUCCUACCGAUUGAGUGGUCCGGUGAGGCUUUGGGAUCUGAACGGAGAGAGCGUUUCGCUGUUUCUGCUCGGAAAACUCAGUCGAACCUUAUCAUUUAGAGGAAGGAGAAGUCGUAACA
This 322-nucleotide ribosomal RNA is filed under the name uncultured eukaryote. Its description in RNAcentral is "partial 18S ribosomal RNA". It matches the Rfam family "Eukaryotic small subunit ribosomal RNA", at positions 1470 to 1796 of the family's 1831-position model. The record is from RNAcentral.